Cyanistes caeruleus (blue tit) is the source of this 621-nucleotide non-coding RNA. Lineage: Eukaryota; Metazoa; Chordata; Aves; Passeriformes; Paridae. The record is from RefSeq and is a predicted model, not a curated record.
CUUGUCCGGCCUGGGCGGGAGGAGGAGGCCGAGCCAGACCCUGUUACCUCUUCAAAGGCUGGAAACCAAAGAGGACAAGAAAUUCCUGGACUUACAUCCUAAACCAGCUAAAUGACAUUUACCAGUCAGAAUCUGUCCUUAGUGAGCAGAGUACAAGUCGUUAGUGACAGAAUACUCUGGUCUGCAGACCCAGAUCAAGACCUGUGUUUGUACUCACCCAGAUUUUAGUCAUCAAAGGGAGGUUUCCACAGCUGCCACCUCUUGCGGAAGCAAGCCCUACAGGAAUGUGCCUCAAAGGACACCUGCAAUAACAGCAUAUGGCUACUUGAAAUAAUCCACAAAGGCAGUGAGACCAGCUCUGGAAAGCUAAUGAUGAACAGAGACAAGGGAACAGAAGGACUUUGUCUGGUAGAAAGGCUUGGAGUAUCCCUUACAGAUCUGUCCUGGAGCACAAAACAUAAAGAUAUUACAACAUCCUUUCAUCCAACGCGUCAGUACUUGGAGCACUCACAGAGUUUUGAGAGAUUUAACUCCUUCUUCUGCUUAAAGGUAACAUAGAAUUCCAAAUCUGAGGUGAAGAGAUUAAGCACCUGGUAUUGCUCAGAAAAGCACUGUGGAGUA